RNAcentral lists this ribosomal RNA (422 nucleotides) under uncultured bacterium. RNAcentral's name for it is "bacterial SSU rRNA". It matches the Rfam family "Bacterial small subunit ribosomal RNA", at positions 355 to 774 of the family's 1533-position model. The record is from RNAcentral.
UGAGGAAUAUUGGACAAUGGUCGCAAGACUGAUCCAGCCAUGCCGCGUGCAGGAAGACGGCCCUAUGGGUUGUAAACUGCUUUUGUACCAGAGAAAACCUAUCUACGUGUAGAUAGCUGAUAGUAUGGUAAGAAUAAGCAUCGGCUAACUUCGUGCCAGCAGCCGCGGUAAGACGAAGGAUGCAAGCGUUAUCCGGAUUCAUUGGGUUUAAAGGGUGCGUAGGCGGGCUUGUAAGUCAGUGGUGAAAUCUCUCAGCUUAACUGAGAAACUGCCAUUGAUACUGCAGGCCUAGAGUAUAGAUGACGUUGGCGGAAUAUGACAUGUAGUGGUGAAAUACUUAGAUAUGUCAUAGAACACCGAUUGCGAAGGCAGCUAACGAAACUAUAACUGACGCUGAGGCACGAAAGUGCGGGGAUCAAACA